UUAGGGCUUGCUAAUUAGGGUUAGGGUUUCCUAAUUAGGGUUUAGGAUUCCUGAAUAUUAAAUUAAGGUUUCACAGCUUUCGUUUAGGGUUCCUAACUAUACGUUAAGGUUUCUAAACCUGAGAUUAGGGUUUAUAAUAUCUCAUUAGGGUUUACUAAUGUUAUACCCUGCUCGAUCAAUCACUGAUCAAAAUUCUAUAUAGUACAAACAUGUACUCAACGAUAAAGUUAUAAUAACUAUAUUUUUUAUCGAACCCCUAUCCGGACUUAGGGUUAGGGUUUUCUAUUCUCAGUUAAGCACAACUCUACUCUUAUCUCUCAGUCAAUACACAAAUUUAC
RNAcentral lists this long non-coding RNA (338 nucleotides) under Panax ginseng (ginseng). RNAcentral's name for it is "long non-coding RNA (PGIN_LNC016548)". Lineage: Eukaryota; Viridiplantae; Streptophyta; Magnoliopsida; Apiales; Araliaceae. The record is from RNAcentral.